UAUUAUUAUUAUUAGUUUGGGCUUUUCUGCUUUUAAUGGACAGGACAACUAAGUGAGAAAGGGAAGACACGCAGGAAAUUGUCACAAGUCAGACUCGAACCCUGGACCUCUUUCUCAAGGUACAAACCUCCAAGUACAC
Etheostoma spectabile (orangethroat darter) is the source of this 139-nucleotide long non-coding RNA. RefSeq lists it as uncharacterized. NCBI's taxonomy places the organism in Eukaryota, Metazoa, Chordata, Actinopteri, Perciformes, Percidae. The transcript has 3 exons. The record is from RefSeq and is a predicted model, not a curated record.